CAGCAAGUAGUUUAUUAAAACGUUAAUUUUGGGGAUUAAAGAUAAGUGGUUUGUACUUUUUGCUGA
RNAcentral lists this transfer RNA (66 nucleotides) under Reduvius tenebrosus. RNAcentral describes it as "tRNA-Pro". Lineage: Eukaryota; Metazoa; Arthropoda; Insecta; Hemiptera; Reduviidae. The record is from RNAcentral.